UGGACAGCCAAGCUGGUGCUGGUGGCGGCUCUCGUGGCGGCGGUCUCUGCCCAGUUCGGGGGGACGGACCCGGGCGGUCUGCUCAACGACCCGGCUGCGCUCACCGAGAUCAUACAGUGCCUGCUGGCCAACUCGGACUCAGGUUGCUCGCUACAGGGGCGUCUGCUCAAGAGCGUGCUGCCGCAGCUGCUGCAGUCCAACUGCGGCCAGUGCAGCGAGGCGCAGCGCCAGGACGUGGCCAACGUGCUCCGCCACCUGGUCAACGACAGGCCGGAGGAGUGGCAGCGGCUCGCCGCCAAGUACGACCCGGCGGGCACCCUGCGCACCCAGCACGGGGACGAGUGGCGCGCACGCGGCGUCAACAUGUAGCCGCGACCCUAACACGUUGAGGUUUCAUAGAAAAGCACCAUAGAAAUCACCAAUGAACUUACGGUCAACGCUCACAACACUGGAGUUUACCAAGUUGAAUCACACCAGCACCUCCGAAGCAUCUGACGUAAAGGAACGUUACUUCCUUCAAAGAAUGUAUGCUGCUGCCACUAUCUGGUACUCCCAAAAUUGCACCUUCGCGUCAGGUACCUGAUGUAGCGACUGACAUGAAACUAGUGACAAUUACAUUAAAAUACGUCUAUGGACGCCAAAGAAA
Long non-coding RNA from Schistocerca piceifrons (Central American locust), 646 nucleotides. RefSeq lists it as uncharacterized. The record is from RefSeq and is a predicted model, not a curated record. NCBI's taxonomy places the organism in Eukaryota, Metazoa, Arthropoda, Insecta, Orthoptera, Acrididae. The transcript is spliced from 3 exons.